GGCCGGUUAGCUCAGUCAGUUUAGCGUGGCGCUAACAACGCCAAGGUUGCGGGUUCAAUUCCCAUUUGGUCCC
Molecule: non-coding RNA, 73 nt
Organism: Apaloderma vittatum (bar-tailed trogon)
Lineage: Eukaryota; Metazoa; Chordata; Aves; Trogoniformes; Trogonidae
Source: Rfam